This is a long non-coding RNA of Oryzias latipes (Japanese medaka), 2190 nucleotides long. RefSeq lists it as uncharacterized. Lineage: Eukaryota; Metazoa; Chordata; Actinopteri; Beloniformes; Adrianichthyidae. The record is from RefSeq and is a predicted model, not a curated record.
GGUGAUUUUUCUGGUUUGGCUUUUUUGUUGUUCCAUCUGUUGAAAUGUGCACAGUUUUCUGGUUCAUUUGAGUUCCUUUUCCUUUUCUUUUUCGCAUGUCUGCUGAUUUGCUCCAGGUGUGUCAUUUGCCAAACACCUGAGGCUCAUUUUCCUCAUCAGUUCACUUUUUUAUUUAAGCUGGGUGUCUCCCCCCUGUCUUUAUUUAGUACUUCAUUUGUCUCUUUCAUAAAAGCCCAAAAAAAUAUUAAAGCAACAUUUGAUGUUCUUUUGGAUGAGUAAUUUGGGGAAAUAAAUGAUCAAGCUGUCAGAACACCUGCGUUUGAAUCCUCCUUCAGCUCAGCCUGUGAUCUUCUCAUCUGAGUUAUUGUUGAAAUGUCCAUUCAUGAGUAGAGUCACGGUAAUUGUUGGACCCCAUCCCAGCUCUCAAAGGAGCAUGGUGGGGUGGAAACCCUGGGCAGGAUGCCAGUCCAUCACGGGGCUGCAGACCAACACUUAUGCUCACUUCCGAGGGCCAGUUUGGAGUCAACACUCAAUCUUAGAAAGCAAGAAGAUAGGGAAGUUUUGGUGCAGACUCAUCAGAAUGCAAAGUCUUCUGACAGCAAGUCAGGAGCUAAGGUGGAGCUUGGCUGAACUCCCUGGGAGAAAGCAAGAGGUCAGGACAAAAAAGACAGCUUUGCAUCUGAGACAGUGGGGAAUUCAUGGAUGACCACAAACUUCCACACCAAAGCCUCCAUCCUGCUACGGUGAUGGGCUUGAGCUGGUCAGAUGUGAAGAGAAUAACAGCUGUGUGGUAUCUGCGCCUGAUGUCAGGAGCGGGCCUUGAAACAGGAGUGGGCUGACUCAGUCACUGACGCCGCCGACGCUGACAUCCAAACAAAGAGACAGCGGAAAUAAGCCAUGGCAUGGAAUCAACAAACAGCUGUCAACGAUCCCUGCGUUACACUGAUGGGCUCCACGCAGCUUAAACGGGAAAGGACAGAUGGACACGCUCCAUUUGGGUGACAGACUGCACAGCCCUGGGAAAGGUGUGGGGACGGACAGCUUCUUUACAGAGGAAAUCUGUUUGACACUUUUAAGUCUUGAUGCUAAAACACAUUAGGCAGAUGGGGGGGGAGGAAUUGUAGCCCUGCCAUUAGUUAAAAAUAUCAAAAAAAAUAAUGUGUAGACUCCAGAGAUUUCAAUUGGAUUGGUGAAUGCAUUUUACUUUGUCAUAAGAAAAGCGUCAAUCAUGAUUUAAACUCAUCAGGAUCUUUGGUUUCAACACACGACGAGUAAUUGAAUGUCACUGUUGGUUUAGAAAUUGCAAAAUUUGAUUCUCAGUAUUCUUUGCUCAUUUAAUAAAAAUAUAAUCAAAACAAAUGUUGUUUAUCGUUGAAGAAGCUAUUCCCUGAUAAUGCUGCCACAGUUAUUGCAGGCUGUCUUGGCUGCAAAAACAAAAUGUUAUUUUAUACCCCCUGCACUCAUCAUCGCUUACAAUUUAUUUACUUGACAUUGAGGAGUCCUACUCGUUUCGUCUGUUAAGUCUUGAUCAAAUCUAAUCUCGGUUUUCAUAUGAGAAAGAAUUCAGGUAUCCUUGAACACACUUUACUACUUGUGUGUGUCACCAAAACUUUAAAAACAGAACUACAUGUGUUACGGUGUCCUAGCUCUAUAUCUUCCCUUAGAACAGAGAUCAGCAACCUUUAGCACUUAGAAGCGCAUUUGGGUCAAUUCAACACUGACUACAACCCAGCAAGAGUCACAAAGUCUGACUUCACCCUUUUGAAAAACAAAAAAACAUAGAUUUGUAUCUAUGUUAUGGUUUCUUUUAUGAUAAAUAUAUAUUAAAAAACUGUUUUUGGUAUAAAUAAAAUAUAAUCAUAAAGAUAAAAUAGUUUUUUUUUUUAAACUAUGAAAAUGUUUAAAUAGUAUAUUCACAAUACUUCCUUUCAAAAUGCAUCUCAAUGCAGCAGCUGUGGUGUUAAUCAUUUAAUCACUGGAUGCGUAAAGCAAACAUGUUUUUAUUUUGCUAAUAUUGUUCUUGCAUUUUACUGAUAUAUUUAUUUUUUUGUAAUCUUGUUAACACACUGUAAAGCGCUUUAAACUGCAAUGCAUGAAAAGUGUUUUUUAAAAAUAAAUAAAGCUUGAUUGAUUGCUUGUUAUCGCACUGAUAUGGUUACUGCUUUUAAUCUCGUUGUGCAUGCUGACAGU